Molecule: ribosomal RNA, 1484 nt
Filed under: Leptolyngbya boryana NIES-2135
Lineage: Bacteria; Bacillati; Cyanobacteriota; Cyanophyceae; Leptolyngbyales; Leptolyngbyaceae
Description: bacterial SSU rRNA
Rfam family: Bacterial small subunit ribosomal RNA
Source: RNAcentral
AUGGAGAGUUUGAUCCUGGCUCAGGAUGAACGCUGGCGGUAUGCUUAACACAUGCAAGUCGAACGGUCUCUUCGGAGAUAGUGGCGGACGGGUGAGUAACGCGUGAGAACAUGCCUUUAGAUUGGGGACAACAGUUGGAAACGACUGCUAAUACCGAAUGUGCCUUAGGGUGAAAGAUUUAUUGUCUAGAGAUUGGCUCGCGUCAGAUUAGCUAGUUGGAGUGGUAACGGCACACCAAGGCGACGAUCUGUACUUGGUCUGAGAGGAUGACCAGGCACACUGGAACUGAGACACGGUCCAGACUCCUACGGGAGGCAGCAGUGGGGAAUUUUCCGCAAUGGGCGAAAGCCUGACGGAGCAAUACCGCGUGAGGGAGGACGGCUUUUGGGUUGUAAACCUCUUUUAUCAGGGAAGAAUCGAUGACGGUACCUGAUGAAUCAGCAUCGGCUAACUCCGUGCCAGCAGCCGCGGUAAUACGGAGGAUGCAAGCGUUAUCCGGAAUUAUUGGGCGUAAAGCGUCCGUAGGUGGUUUAUCAAGUCUGCUGUCAAAGCGUGCGGCUUAACCGCAUAAGGGCAGUGGAAACUGAUGAACUAGAGUGCGAUAGGGGUAACAGGAAUUCCCAGUGUAGCGGUGAAAUGCGUAGAUAUUGGGAAGAACACCAGCGGCGAAAGCGUGUUACUGGGUCUGCACUGACACUGAGGGACGAAAGCUAGGGGAGCGAAAGGGAUUAGAUACCCCUGUAGUCCUAGCCGUAAACGAUGACAACUAGGCGUGGUUCGUAUCGACCCGAGCCGUGCCGUAGCCAACGCGUUAAGUUGUCCGCCUGGGGAGUACGCACGCAAGUGUGAAACUCAAAGGAAUUGACGGGGGCCCGCACAAGCGGUGGAGUAUGUGGUUUAAUUCGAUGCAACGCGAAGAACCUUACCAAGGCUUGACAUCCUCGGAACCCUGAUGAAAGUUAGGGGUGCCUUCGGGAGCCGAGAGACAGGUGGUGCAUGGCUGUCGUCAGCUCGUGUCGUGAGAUGUUGGGUUAAGUCCCGCAACGAGCGCAACCCACGUUUUUAGUUGCCAGCAUUCAGUUGGGCACUCUAGAGAGACUGCCGGUGACAAACCGGAGGAAGGUGUGGAUGACGUCAAGUCAGCAUGCCCCAUACGCCUUGGGCUACACACGUACUACAAUGCGUCGGACAAAGAGCAGCCAGCCAGCGAUGGUGAGCCAAUCUCAUAAACCGGCGCUCAGUUCAGAUUGCAGGCUGCAACUCGCCUGCAUGAAGGCGGAAUCGCUAGUAAUCGCAGGUCAGCAUACUGCGGUGAAUACGUUCCCGGGCCUUGUACACACCGCCCGUCACACCAUGGGAGUUGGUCACGCCCGAAGUCGUUACUCUAACUGCUUGCAGAGGAGGACGCCGAAGGUGGGGCUGAUGACUGGGGUGAAGUCGUAACAAGGUAGCCGUACCGGAAGGUGUGGCUGGAUCACCUCCUU